GACGAACGCUGGCGGCGUGCUUAACACAUGCAAGUCGAACGGAAAGGCCCUGCUUUUGUGGGGUGCUCGAGUGGCGAACGGGUGAGUAACACGUGAGUAACCUGCCCUUGACUUUGGGAUAACUUCAGGAAACUGGGGCUAAUACCGGAUAGAAGCUCCUGCUGCAUGGUGGGGGUUGGAAAGUUUCGGCGUUUGGGGAUGGUCUCGCGGCUUAUCAGCUUGUUGGUGGGGUAGUGGCGUACGAAGGGUUUGACGGGUAGCCGGCCUGGGAGGGUGACCGGCCACAUUGGGACCGAGAUACGGCCCAGAAUCCUACGGGAGGCAGCAGUGGGGAAUCUUGCACAAUGGGGGGAAGUCUGAUGCAGCAACGCCGCGUGCGGGAUGACGGCUUUCGGGUUGUAAACCGCUUUCGCCUGUGACGAAGCGUGAGUGACGGUAAUGGGUAAAGAAGCACCGGCUAACUACGUG
This 468-nucleotide ribosomal RNA is filed under the name uncultured bacterium. RNAcentral's name for it is "partial 16S ribosomal RNA". It matches the Rfam family "Bacterial small subunit ribosomal RNA", at positions 28 to 507 of the family's 1533-position model. The record is from RNAcentral.